UACGUAGGGGGCAAGCGUUGUCCGGAAUCAUUGGGCGUAAAGAGCGUGUAGGCGGUUCGGUAAGUCGGCUGUGAAAGUCCAGGGCUCAACCCUGGGAUGCCGGUCGAUACUGCCGGACUAGAGUCCGGAAGAGGAGAGUGGAAUUCCUGGUGUAGCGGUGAAAUGCGCAGAUAUCAGGAAGAACACCUAUGGCGAAGGCAGCUCUCUGGGACGGUACUGACGCUGAGACGCGAAAGCGUGGGGAGCGAACAGG
This 253-nucleotide ribosomal RNA is filed under the name uncultured bacterium. RNAcentral's name for it is "partial 16S ribosomal RNA". It matches the Rfam family "Bacterial small subunit ribosomal RNA", at positions 524 to 776 of the family's 1533-position model. The record is from RNAcentral.